CUGGUCGGACAUCAGGAGGUUAGUGCAAUGGCAUAAGCCAGCUUGACUGCGAGCGUGACGGCGCGAGCAGGUGCGAAAGCAGGUCAUAGUGAUCCGGUGGUUCUGAAUGGAAGGGCCAUCGCUCAACGGAUAAAAGGUACUCCGGGGAUAACAGGCUGAUACCGCCCAAGAGUUCAUAUCGACGGCGGUGUUUGGCACCUCGAUGUCGGCUCAUCACAUCCUGGGGCUGAAGUAGGUCCCAAGGGUAUGGCUGUUCGCCAUUUAAAGUGGUACGCGAGCUGGGUUUAGAACGUCGUGAGACAGUUCGGUCCCUAUCUGCCGUGGGCGCUGGAGAACUGAGGGGGGCUGCUCCUAGUACGAGAGGACCGGAGUGGACGCAUCACUGGUGUUCGGGUUGUCAUGCCAAUGGCACUGCCCGGUAGCUAAAUGCGGAAGAGAUAAGUGCUGAAAGCAUCUAAGCACGAAACUUGCCCCGAGAUGAGUUCUCCCUGACCCUUUAAGGGUCCUGAAGGAACGUUGAAGACGACGACGUUGAUAGGCCGGGUGUGUAAGCGCAGCGAUGCGUUGAGCUAACCGGUACUAAUGAACCGUGAGG
Molecule: ribosomal RNA, 595 nt
Filed under: Escherichia coli
Lineage: Bacteria; Pseudomonadati; Pseudomonadota; Gammaproteobacteria; Enterobacterales; Enterobacteriaceae
Description: partial 23S ribosomal RNA
Rfam family: Bacterial large subunit ribosomal RNA
Source: RNAcentral